This 201-nucleotide ribosomal RNA is filed under the name uncultured bacterium. RNAcentral's name for it is "partial 16S ribosomal RNA". It matches the Rfam family "Bacterial small subunit ribosomal RNA", at positions 335 to 528 of the family's 1533-position model. The record is from RNAcentral.
AACCUACGGGAGGCAGCAGUAGGGAAUCUUUCACAAUGGGCGAAAGCCUGAUGGAGCAACGCCGCGUGCAGGAUGAAGGUUUUCGGAUCGUAAAGCUCUGUUGUAAGAGAAGAACGAGUGUGAGAGUGGAAAGUUCACACUGUGACGGUAUCUUACCAGAAAGGGACGGCUAACUACGUGCCAGCAGCCGCGGUAAUGGUU